RNAcentral lists this ribosomal RNA (274 nucleotides) under uncultured bacterium. RNAcentral describes it as "partial 16S ribosomal RNA". It matches the Rfam family "Bacterial small subunit ribosomal RNA", at positions 523 to 796 of the family's 1533-position model. The record is from RNAcentral.
AUACGGAGGGUGCAAGCGUUACUCGGAAUCACUGGGCUUAAAGGGCGCGUAGGCGGUUGUGCAAGUCUGGGGUUGAAGCCCACGGCUCAACCGUGGAAAGGCCCUAGAAACUACACGACUUGAGUGAGCGAGGGGAGGGCGGAAUUCCCGGUGUAGCGGUGAAAUGCGUAGAUAUCGGGAGGAAGGCCGGUGGCGAAGGCGGCCCUCUGGCGCUUGACUGACGCUGAGGCGCGAAAGCGUGGGGAGCAAACAGGAUUAGAAACCCUAGUAGUCC